AACGAACGCUGGCGGCGCGUCUUAAGCAUGCAAGUCGAACGGCAAGAGAGAAGCUUGCUUCUCUCCUAGAGUGGCGGACUGGUGAGGAACACGUGGGUAAUCUACCCUUAAGAUGGGGAUAGCUGUUAGAAAUAGCAGGUAAUACCGAAUACACUCAGUGCUUCAUAAGAGGUAUUGAGGAAAGGAAGCUACGGCUUCGCUUGAGGAUGAGCUUGCGUCCCAUUAGCUCGUUGGUGAGGUAACGGCCCACCAAGGCGACGAUGGGUAUCCGGCCUGAGAGGGUGAACGGACACAUUGGGACUGAGAUACGGCCCAAACUCCUACGGGAGGCAGCAGCUAAGAAUAUUCCGCAAUGGACGGAAGUCUGACGGAGCGACGCCGCGUGGAUGAAGAAGGCUGAAAAGUUGUAAAAUCCUUUUGUUGAUGAAGAAUAAGGGGAAGAGGGAAUGCUUCUCUGAUGACGGUAGUCGGCGAAUAAGCCCGGCUA
RNAcentral lists this ribosomal RNA (487 nucleotides) under Treponema sp. oral taxon 237. Its description in RNAcentral is "bacterial SSU rRNA". It matches the Rfam family "Bacterial small subunit ribosomal RNA", at positions 29 to 499 of the family's 1533-position model. Lineage: Bacteria; Pseudomonadati; Spirochaetota; Spirochaetia; Treponematales; Treponemataceae. The record is from RNAcentral.